RNAcentral lists this ribosomal RNA (135 nucleotides) under Giardia duodenalis. RNAcentral describes it as "Giardia intestinalis partial small subunit ribosomal RNA". Lineage: Eukaryota; Fornicata; Diplomonadida; Hexamitidae. The record is from RNAcentral.
UGACGCUCUCCCCAAGGACACAAGCCAUGCAUGCCCGCGCACCCGGGAGGCGGCGGACGGCUCAGGACAACGGUUGCACCCCCCGCGGCGGUCCCUGCUAGCCGGACACCGCUGGCAACCCGGCGCCAAGACGGC